GGGAAGGUGCCGGAGCGGUUGAACGGGACGGUCUCGAAAACCGUUGUGGGGUUUACCCCACCGUGGGUUCGAAUCCCACCCUUCCCG
This 87-nucleotide transfer RNA is filed under the name Chloroflexota bacterium. Its description in RNAcentral is "Chloroflexi bacterium (anaerobic digester metagenome) tRNA-Ser". It matches the Rfam family "tRNA". Rfam says of the family: Transfer RNA (tRNA) molecules are approximately 80 nucleotides in length. Their secondary structure includes four short double-helical elements and three loops (D, anti-codon, and T loops). Lineage: Bacteria; Bacillati; Chloroflexota. The record is from RNAcentral.